UACGGGGGGGGCAAGCGUUGUUCGGAAUUACUGGGCGUAAAGGGCUCGUAGGCGGCCAACUAAGUCAUACGUGAAAUCCCUCGGCUUAACCGGGGAACUGCGUCUGAUACUGGAUGGCUUGAGUUCGGGAGAGGGAUGCGGAAUUCCGGGUGUAGCGGUGGAAUGCGUAGAGAUCCGGAAGGACACCGGUGGCGAAGGCGGCCUGCUGGGCAGUGGCUGACACUGAGGCGCGACAGCGUGGGGAGCAAACAGG
Molecule: ribosomal RNA, 253 nt
Filed under: uncultured bacterium
Lineage: Bacteria
Description: partial 16S ribosomal RNA
Rfam family: Bacterial small subunit ribosomal RNA
Source: RNAcentral